UGAAGGUAGAGGUGCGAGCUUCAUUAGUAAAAGUUCCUUAGAAGAUUGAGCUUCGUUGAAGGACUUUGAAAGGGAAUGUUCGCCGAAGUGAAGAAAGACUCAAUAUUUUCUUCGCUGGUUCUGCAUUGAAUAAAUGCAGGAUUGUCAAGACUAUCUGUCUUGGAGGGCUAUCU
Molecule: non-coding RNA, 173 nt
Filed under: uncultured Cytobacillus sp.
Lineage: Bacteria; Bacillati; Bacillota; Bacilli; Caryophanales; Bacillaceae
Description: Lysine riboswitch
Rfam family: Lysine riboswitch aptamer
About the family: Riboswitches are metabolite binding domains within certain messenger RNAs that serve as precision sensors for their corresponding targets. Allosteric rearrangement of mRNA structure is mediated by ligand binding, and this results in modulation of gene expression.
Source: RNAcentral